RNAcentral lists this ribosomal RNA (509 nucleotides) under uncultured Glomus. RNAcentral's name for it is "SSU rRNA". It matches the Rfam family "Eukaryotic small subunit ribosomal RNA", at positions 569 to 1081 of the family's 1831-position model. Lineage: Eukaryota; Fungi; Glomeromycota; Glomeromycetes; Glomerales; Glomeraceae. The record is from RNAcentral.
AGCAGCCGCGGUAAUUCCAGCUCCAAUAGCGUAUAUUAAAGUUGCUGCAGUUAAAAAGCUCGUAGUUGAAUUUCGGGACUAAUAUGUCGGUCGUGCCUCGGUACGUACUGGUUUAUUGGUUUCUCCUUUCUGAAGAACCAUGAUGUCAUUUAUUUGGUGUCGUGGGGAAUCAGGACUGUUACUUUGAAAAAAUUAGAGUGUUUAAAGCAGGCUCACGCUUGAAUACAUUAGCAUGGAAUAAUGAAAUAGGACGUUUGAUUCUAUUUUGUUGGUUUCUAGGAUCGACGUAAUGAUUAAUAGGGAUAGUUGGGGGCAUUAGUAUUCAAUUGUCAGAGGUGAAAUUCUUGGAUUUAUUGAAGACUAACUACUGCGAAAGCAUUUGCCAAGGAUGUUUUCAUUAAUCAAGAACGAAAGUUAGGGGAUCGAAGACGAUCAGAUACCGUCGUAGUCUUAACCAUAAACUAUGCCGACAAGGGAUCGGAUGAUGUUAAUUUUUAAUGUACUCAUUC